CCGGACCGGCGCACGGGUGAGUAACGCGUAUGCAACUUACCCAUCAGAGGGGGAUAACCCGGCGAAAGUCGGACUAAUACCGCAUGAAGCAGGGGCCCCGCAUGGGGAUAUUUGCUAAAGAUUCAUCGCUGAUAGAUAGGCAUGCGUUCCAUUAGGCAGUUGGCGGGGUAACGGCCCACCAAACCGACGAUGGAUAGGGGUUCUGAGAGGAAGGUCCCCCACAUUGGUACUGAGACACGGACCAA
Molecule: ribosomal RNA, 245 nt
Filed under: uncultured bacterium
Lineage: Bacteria
Description: partial 16S ribosomal RNA
Rfam family: Bacterial small subunit ribosomal RNA
Source: RNAcentral